Molecule: long non-coding RNA, 474 nt
Filed under: Panax ginseng (ginseng)
Lineage: Eukaryota; Viridiplantae; Streptophyta; Magnoliopsida; Apiales; Araliaceae
Description: long non-coding RNA (PGIN_LNC015182)
Source: RNAcentral
UGAAGUCGUCUCAAGACCCGCAUAGAGAUUUCAAGGAGUCAAUGAUGGAGAUGAUAAUGGAGAACAAUAUCAGGACGUCAAAGGACUUGGAAGACCUUCUUGCAUGUUAUCUUUCACUGAAUUCGGAUCAAUAUCAUGACCUGAUUAUCAAGGUGUUCAAGCAAAUCUGGCUUCAGAUUACUGAUAUUCGUUUGAAGUAAUCAAGUUUUUAAUUUAUAUAUUAAAGAUUCUAGUGAAUGUACAUUUCCUUUUUUUUAUAACAAAAUAUAUAUAUAUAUAUAUAUAGAAAUUAUAUGGAUGGUUGUAAUACUAUAAUAAAACUCAGCUGAAAGAGAAUAGGCUAGGAAUAGGAUACCUUAAGGACAAGUUUCAGAUUUUAAUCUGUUUUCUUCUCGACAUAAAAAUGUAUAUAUGUUUUUCUAUCCGGGUACUUUUGAUCAGUACUCUCCCGCUUAACCACCAGGCAAGUACAAC